GGCCCGUCCCACUUGGAGACACAAAAACAUUUGAGUUUAAGCCUGUUAAGGGGCGAUACGUCAACCUUAUUGUGCCUGGACGCAAUGAAUUCCUCACUCUGUGUGAAGUUGAGGUUUAUUCAGAUUAAAUGGAACAAGAUGAUGUCACACCUCAGUUCAAGGAUUCUAUAUUCAAAAUUAAUCAAACUUCUGUUUUCUGAACAAUAUUAAUAGUGUACGUUUUCAUUUGACCUAUGCAGCUUUAAUCAUUUAAUCAAGAGCUCUUUUGAUGCACAAUGAGAAAUGUUUUGAAUGGUGACUGUUUAAAGCUUUGACAUUCUUCACUUCAGUUUGCAGCAGGUUGUGUAUUUACAGCCUGAACAAACCCAUCUUUAUUCAUCUUUGCUUUCUACAUGAAUAAAUUACUACUGCAUUGCA
Molecule: long non-coding RNA, 417 nt
Organism: Carassius auratus (goldfish)
Lineage: Eukaryota; Metazoa; Chordata; Actinopteri; Cypriniformes; Cyprinidae
Exons: 2
Source: RefSeq, a predicted model, not a curated record